UACGUAGGUGGCAAGCGUUGUCCGAAUUUACUGGGUGUAAAGGGCGUGCAGCCGGAGAGGCAAGUCAGAUGUGAAAUCCGCGGGCUCAACCCGCGAACUGCAUUUGAAACUGCUUCCCUUGAGUAUCGGAGAGGUAACCGGAAUUCCUAGUGUAGCGGCGAAAUGCGUAGAUAUUAGGAAGAACACCAGUGGCGAAGGCGGCCUGCUGGACUGUAACUGACGUUGAGGCUCGAAAGCGUGGGGAGCAAACAGG
This 253-nucleotide ribosomal RNA is filed under the name uncultured Oscillospira sp. RNAcentral's name for it is "partial 16S ribosomal RNA". It matches the Rfam family "Bacterial small subunit ribosomal RNA", at positions 524 to 776 of the family's 1533-position model. Lineage: Bacteria; Bacillati; Bacillota; Clostridia; Eubacteriales; Oscillospiraceae. The record is from RNAcentral.